RNAcentral lists this non-coding RNA (229 nucleotides) under Ethanoligenens harbinense. Its description in RNAcentral is "T-box sequence". It matches the Rfam family "T-box leader". Rfam says of the family: Uncharged tRNA acts as the effector for transcription antitermination of genes in the T-box leader family. The record is from RNAcentral. Lineage: Bacteria; Bacillati; Bacillota; Clostridia; Eubacteriales; Oscillospiraceae.
AAAAAGACCAUGAAGGGAAAAAGACCUUCGCCCGUUUUUCAGAGAGCCCGCGGCUGGUGUGAGCGGGCAAAGCGGCAGAGGUGGAUAGCUCAUCCCGGAGUCGCCGUCCCGAUGAGGGGCGGACGUGUGGUGCACGUUAGCGCGCCGGGCCUUGUUAGAGGCCUGUAAAGGGCGGCAGCUUGCCGCCGAAUCAGGGUGGUACCGCGUGGAAGUUUUCCUCGCCCCUGCG